This 817-nucleotide long non-coding RNA is filed under the name Homo sapiens (human). RNAcentral's name for it is "HSALNT0063135". The record is from RNAcentral. Lineage: Eukaryota; Metazoa; Chordata; Mammalia; Primates; Hominidae.
CAAAGAAGCAGCUUUGGAGGAUUUGCAGAAGUGGAGUCAUGGGAGGGCAUUUUCUGAGCUCUAUGGGCCCUGGUGAUUGUCAGACACUCAGAGGAUCCUUUAAAAGUUUCUAGGACUAGGAAUGGAAAGAGAGAGGAGCCAGGUUAAGGCAAUCAGGUGGCGAUGGCAAUGCCCAGUGCAGUUAAGUGCUUUGUUCCUGUAUUUCCUCCAGACUUGCUGUCAAACCUGGACAGGAGCCGAGGAGGUGGGAGGCAAGGGCCAGUGCAUGUAGUGGGGUUCAAAUUCCAGUUCUACCCCUUCCUAGAGGAGGACUUGGGCAAAUGGAGUAGCUCCUCUGAGGUUCUCUGUCCAUAAUAUAGUGAUAAGAGGGCUUUCUGGGGGGAAGGUGGUAUUCAGUGAGGGGAGACAACUAAACUAUUAGCUUAUUUCUGUAAAUGUUCUCCAGUUCCAGGUUGGAGAAUGAUUCAAGUUAGCAAAAAUGAUGAGGAGGUUGGAAAGCUCCAAUGAAACCAUGGUCAGUGGGUGAUAAGUGUGUGUUGCAGUUUGAUAACAUGAAAGACUGAAACUGAGAGAGAGUUGAAAAAUAAGUCUUUAGAAAAAUAGAGUUUAGGGACUGGAAGCCUCAAUGAGGUAGAAAACCAGGGUGGAGUAAGGAGGAACUGAAAGCAAAAGAAAAGCACGUGUGUGACUUGAGAGUGAGAUUUCCAAAGUCAGUUUCAGUUACCACCCAAGCAAUCACUAACCCUUCUAAAUUGUCAUUAUUUCGUAUAUUGAUAUGGUAUUUUAUUAAUUAAUACACUUUUUUUUUCAAGAUAGA